RNAcentral lists this ribosomal RNA (402 nucleotides) under uncultured bacterium. Its description in RNAcentral is "bacterial SSU rRNA". It matches the Rfam family "Bacterial small subunit ribosomal RNA", at positions 335 to 730 of the family's 1533-position model. The record is from RNAcentral.
ACUCCUACGGGAGGCAGCAGUGGGGAAUAUUGCACAAUGGGCGCAAGCCUGAUGCAGCCAUGCCGCGUGUGUGAAGAAGGCCUCGGUUGUAAAGCACUUUCUAGCGAGGAGGAAGGGUUCGAGUGUUAAUAGCACUGUUCAUUGACGUUACUCGCAGAAGAAGCACCGGCUAACUCCGUGCCAGCAGCCGCGGUAAUACGGAGGGUGCAAGCGUUAAUCGGAAUUACUGGGCGUAAAGCGCACGCAGGCGGUUUGUUAAGUCAGAUGUGAAAUCCCGCGCUUAACGUGGGAACUGCAUUUGAAACUGGCAAGCUAGAGUCUUGUAGAGGGGGGUAGAAUUCCAGGUGUAGCGGUGAAAUGCGUAGAGAUCUGGAGGAAUACCGGUGGCGAAGGCGGCCCCCU